GAGCGGGCGAGCGAGAGACAGGGGGAGAGAGAGGGACACGCGCGCGCACACACACACACACCGGCACACACGCACACACACAGACACACACACACAGAGUGAAAAAGGCGAGCCACCAAAACCCAUCUCCAGUCUCCUCCCGGGGGCCCCCAGCCCGCCUCUGUGCCACUUUGCAUCCCACGCCGGAGGAGGCAUUAACGAGACCGGUGCUGCAUUCUUACAACCCUAAAAUCCAUCUGCUGUUAACACACCGUCAAAAAGAGGGGGAAAUGCGUCUCCGAGGGAGUGCUCGAGAGAAGAUAAUGGAAUGGUCUGAUGUAAUCCCAUACAAAUUAUUCCUCAUGAUGUGAAAAUGCUUUUACAGGGACCUGGGAGAUUUCUAAACUGAGUGCUGUGCUGGCCAUUGAUGACCCAAAGAUGAUGAAAAAUAUGUUCCUGCCCACAAGGAGUUAGCGACCUACUGGGGUUUUUCUCAGAAAUUACGUACUCUACGGCUGCCCAUCCCAUUCAAGAAUGAGGCAAUAGAAAAGCCUUUGCAAAAGUUAGUUACAAAUGUGGGGCUUGACAUUGAGCUAA
This 576-nucleotide long non-coding RNA is filed under the name Pongo abelii (Sumatran orangutan). Its description in RNAcentral is "lincRNA". The record is from RNAcentral. Lineage: Eukaryota; Metazoa; Chordata; Mammalia; Primates; Hominidae.